AUUUCCGGGUUCGUGUUGGCGCAGCGCCGACCGGCCGGGCGGAAUUCUCGGGCCCGCGCGACCACGGAUGUACUGGCAGGGCGGGCGAGCGAGAUGAAAAAGGUCGGCUUAGCCCGGCCUUUUUUGUU
Molecule: small RNA, 128 nt
Filed under: Sinorhizobium saheli
Lineage: Bacteria; Pseudomonadati; Pseudomonadota; Alphaproteobacteria; Hyphomicrobiales; Rhizobiaceae
Description: Alphaproteobacterial sRNA ar35
Rfam family: Alphaproteobacterial sRNA ar35
Source: Rfam by way of RNAcentral